GCAGUAGGGAGCAGCACUGCUGGGAACAUGACGGCAGGCUCUGGUUUGUUCCUUGUGCCAAGUUCCCGUAGACAGUGGAUGUGGACCAAGGGACUCCCUUGCCGCUGACAACCCCGUCUCAGGCUGCAGCCAGUGUCUGGAGGGACCCUCACCGUUGGGAGCAGAGCCUGGAGCUAAGCCCCAGGAGAACCGUGCGGGCAAGAGGCUGAGAAUGAGGACAACUGAAAACAGUCGGCGCCCGCCUCAGACCCGGGUGCAGCAGAGAGGGGGCCAAAAACAGAACCUGGGCCAUGGUGGGCACCUGAGUGAUGUUUCUGAGAUGAAUUAUGAUGACUGAUACAAUAAAUCUCUUGAAGAAUUGAGGAAAA
RNAcentral lists this long non-coding RNA (368 nucleotides) under Sus scrofa (pig). RNAcentral describes it as "lncRNA (ENSSSCG00055005607.1)". The record is from RNAcentral. Lineage: Eukaryota; Metazoa; Chordata; Mammalia; Artiodactyla; Suidae.